This 1377-nucleotide ribosomal RNA is filed under the name Triticum aestivum (bread wheat). Its description in RNAcentral is "partial small subunit ribosomal RNA". The record is from RNAcentral. Lineage: Eukaryota; Viridiplantae; Streptophyta; Magnoliopsida; Poales; Poaceae.
UCAAAGGUUUCAGAAGCAAAUAGACAGUGGAACAAGACCAUAGCCAGGACUAACUGCGGGGCUAAAAUUAGGAUGAAGAAGGAAAAGGAUGGAACACAAGUCGUAAAAGAGAUAAUCUGGGAACACAACCACAGGCUACAGCUCACCACAGAAAUGCUUGUCUUUUUGCACUCCCACAAAAACAUUGACAAGACAAUCUUGGAGUACGUCAAGUACUUGCAGUUCAAAGGCAUUGAACACACGCAAAUCAUGAGCAUACUAGACGGCGAUGACCCCGGUAGCUACUUCCUCGAAAUGAAUGCCAAAGACCUAAUUAACAUCAAAGCAAAGAAUUCAAGGAUGGAUGACGUGGACGAUGUCCUGAAGACUGUCAACUUCUUUAGGGAGAUGAAAGCAAUAAACAGGGAAUUCUUCUGCGACAUAGAACUUGAUGAGUCCGACAGAGUGAAGAACAUAUUCUGGGCAAACGCGAGCUGCCGAGGGGCAUACCAAGACUUUGGUGACUGCGUGACGUUUGACACCACGUAUAAGACCAACAAAUACCAUAUGCCACUUGGAGUGUUUGUGGGUACUAACAACCACUUUCAGACUACAAUCUUUGCUUUCGCCCUGAUAAGAGAUGAGGAUGUAGAUUCAUUCAGAUGGCACCAGUGCCCAGCAAUGGCUUUGGCGAUCCCAGAUGUUUUCAAGAACAUAGUACAUUAGCUAUGCCGCUGGCACAUUAUGAAGAAGUACAGGGAACACCUCGCGUACUUGUACAACCUCCACCAAACCUUUAAGGAUGAAUUCACAACAAUCCUCAACUGCCCCCUCAUGCCAACUGAGUUUGAGACUGCCUGGAAAGAUCUCAUGGAUAGGUACAACCUCCAUGAUGAUGCCACGAUGGUGGCAAUGUGGAACGAGCGCCAGAAAUGGAUAUCAGCUUACUUAAAAGAAAUUUUCUAUGCCAGAAUGACAUUGACACAACGAAGUGAGAGCAUGAACUAUGUGCUGAAGAAGAACUACGUAUGUGAGAGACAAAACCUGCACCGGUUUGUCAGCCAGGUAAACACCUGCGUCAAAAACAGGAGGCAGGCAGAAAACAAGGAGACAAUGGGUAACCGGAAUAAAACAAACACGCUGACCCUCUAUGGGUUUGACACUCAGAUGGCAAAAGUUUACUCACAAGCUAUGUACAGCGAGAUCAGAAAAAGGCUAAAGCUGAGCACCCUCUUCACGGUGACGAACAUGGAAGAGCCCACAAAGUACCUUGUACGCUACAACAAACCGCAAACAUCAUCUGCAUGGUCUCAGCAUGCGUUCCAGGUGGUUGCAGACCCCGUGGGAGAAAUAUACGACUGCGAGUGCAAGCUCUGGGACCACACAGGUGAGUACUAA